UACGUAGGGGGCAAGCGUUGUCCGGAAUCAUUGGGCGUAAAGAGCGCGCAGGCGGUCGUGCAAGUCGCGUGUGAAAGCCCCCGGCUCAACUGGGGAGGGUCACGCGAUACUGCUCGACUUGAAGGCAGGAGAGGGAAGUGGAAUUCCCGGUGUAGUGGUGAAAUGCGUAGAUGUCGGGAGGAACACCAGUGGCGAAGGCGACUUCCUGGCCUGUUCUUGACGCUGAGGCGCGAAAGCGUGGGGAGCAAACAGG
RNAcentral lists this ribosomal RNA (253 nucleotides) under uncultured bacterium. RNAcentral's name for it is "partial 16S ribosomal RNA". It matches the Rfam family "Bacterial small subunit ribosomal RNA", at positions 524 to 776 of the family's 1533-position model. The record is from RNAcentral.